AAAUAAUAGUGAUAGAUAGGUAGGUGGAAAAUUAUAAGAGUUGGAUACAGGCAGAUGUCUUCACAAAUUCUACAAGAUUAACUCUCCAAUACACAAAUAUCAAAUCAUUCUUUUGAGAAAAUUUUUGUGUCUUUAGUUUAAGAGUCCAUUUUUCAGUUCAUUGAGCUAGGAUUUGAAAAAUAAGCCUUCAGUUUAAGAAAUUUGUUGUGUAAAAUGAUUUUAGUAAUUUCUGUUGAAAGAUGUCUCUUAGUAUUCUCCCCUAAAGUUUUUUUUUUUUGAUUCAGUGUCAGAAACUGAACUUGACUUAGUGGACCACUACCCCUGCAUACUAAUUUUGAACAUACUCAUCCAUGACUUAAAUGUUUAUUUUUCCUUU
Molecule: long non-coding RNA, 376 nt
Filed under: Bos taurus (domestic cattle)
Lineage: Eukaryota; Metazoa; Chordata; Mammalia; Artiodactyla; Bovidae
Description: long non-coding RNA NONBTAT008956
Source: RNAcentral